Molecule: small nuclear RNA, 107 nt
Organism: Dromiciops gliroides (monito del monte)
Lineage: Eukaryota; Metazoa; Chordata; Mammalia; Microbiotheria; Microbiotheriidae
Source: RefSeq, a predicted model, not a curated record
UUCCUUGUUCUAGAAGGACCUAAACUAUAAUCAAAACAAUACAGGAAAGAUUAGCAUAGUCCUUGAACAAGAAUGACGUAUAAAUUGAUGAAAUUUUCCCUAUUUUA